RNAcentral lists this signal recognition particle RNA (236 nucleotides) under Anaerovibrio lipolyticus DSM 3074. RNAcentral describes it as "Bacterial large signal recognition particle RNA". The stretch from base 107 to 206 matches the Rfam family "Bacterial small signal recognition particle RNA". Lineage: Bacteria; Bacillati; Bacillota; Negativicutes; Selenomonadales; Selenomonadaceae. The record is from RNAcentral.
GUACGGGUUACUGUACCGAGAGUUCGAAUCUCUCACUCUCCGCCAUUUUUAUAUCUCAAAAUAAGUUGUAUUUUUACAAGCGGUCUUUCUAAGAUUGGACCGCAGUGUCUUGGUCUCGCGCAAGGCAGCCUCAUGAACCUCGUCAGGUCCGGAAGGAAGCAGCGAUAAGUGAAUCGUUGUCUGUGCCGUGAGGUAGCCUGGGUACUGUGGCCCAAUGUUGGAAAGACUUUCCUUAC